Non-coding RNA from Brachypodium distachyon (stiff brome), 200 nucleotides. Lineage: Eukaryota; Viridiplantae; Streptophyta; Magnoliopsida; Poales; Poaceae. The record is from RefSeq and is marked provisional.
AGCUACAUAAUUUUUAAUUGUGGAAGCUCUUGAAGUUUCGCAUGCAGUUCCUCUAUAUUCCUGUCUGUCAAGUUGAGAUCGCAACCCUGCACUGGCCAUGCUGCCACCUCGAGGUCACCCAUCAUUUGACUCAUCUCAGUUCACUGCAUGUGGAACUUCCAGAUCUUCCAUGAGUAAAAAUCCUGUAGCUUCCAAGGCAA